UACGUAGGGUGCAAGCGUUGUCCGGAAUUAUUGGGCGUAAAGAGCUCGUAGGCGGUUUGUCGCGUCUGCUGUGAAAACUCAGGGCUUAACCCUGAGCCUGCAGUGGGUACGGGCAGACUAGAGUGUGGUAGGGGAGAUCGGAAUUCCUGGUGUAGCGGUGGAAUGCGCAGAUAUCAGGAGGAACACCAGUGGCGAAGGCGGAUCUCUGGGCCAUAACUGACGCUGAAGAGCGAAAGCAUGGGGAGCGAACAGG
RNAcentral lists this ribosomal RNA (253 nucleotides) under uncultured bacterium. RNAcentral's name for it is "partial 16S ribosomal RNA". It matches the Rfam family "Bacterial small subunit ribosomal RNA", at positions 524 to 776 of the family's 1533-position model. The record is from RNAcentral.